GACGCUAGCGACAGGCCUAACACAUGCAAGUCGGAGGGCAGCAACAAGGAGCAAUCUGAGGUGGCGACCGGCGCGACGGGUGAGUAACACGUAUGACAACCUCGGCCUAGGUAAGGACGGGGAACGUAACCCGGCGAAAGUCGGACUAAUACCGCAUAAAACAGGGACACCGCAUGGUGAUAUUUGUUAAAGAAAUUCGCUGAUAGAUGGGCAUGCGUUCCAUUAGGUAGUUGGUGAGGUAACGGCUCACCAAGCCGACGAUGGAUAGGGGAACUGAGAGGUUGGUCCCCACACUGGUACUGAGACACGGACCAGACUCCUACGGGAGGCAGCAGUGAGGAAUAUUGGUCAAUGGGCGAGAGCCUGAACCAGCCAAGUCGCGUGAAGGAAAGAAGGAUCUAUGGUUCGUAAACUUCUUUUGCAGGGAAUAAAGUGCAGGACGUGUCCUGUUUUGUAUGUACCCUGAGAAUAAGGAUCGGCUAACUCCGUGCCAGCAGCUGC
Molecule: ribosomal RNA, 501 nt
Filed under: uncultured bacterium
Lineage: Bacteria
Description: bacterial SSU rRNA
Rfam family: Bacterial small subunit ribosomal RNA
Source: RNAcentral